AAAAAAGUAAAUGUUGCACUAAAAAGUAAUUUUUUAAUUUUUAUUUUAUGUUCGGGGAUACACGUGCAGGUUUGUUAUAUAGGUAAACUCAUGUCAUGGGGGUGUGUAUACAGAUUAUUUUAUCACCCAUGGACUAAGCCUAGUACACAAUAGUUAUUUUUUCUGUUCCUCUCCCUUCUCCCAUCCUCCACCCUCCAGCAGGCCCCAGUGUCUGUCGUUCCCCUUUUUGUGUCCAUGUAUACUCAUUAUUUAGUUCCCACUUAUAAGUGAGAAAAUGCGGUGGUUGGUUUCAUAUUCCUGUGUGAGUUUGCUAAGAAUAAUGGUCUCCAGCUCCAUCCAUGUCCCUGCAAAGGACAUGAUCUCAUUCUUUUUAUGUCUUCAUAGUAUUUCAUGGUGUAUACAUAGUACAUUUCGUUUAUCCAGUCUACCAUUGAUGGGUAUUUAGGUUGACUCCACGUCUUUGCUAUUGUGAAGAGUGCUACAGUGAACUUACAUGUGCAUGUGUCUUUUUGACAGAAUCAUUUGUAUUCCUUUGGGUAUAUAUCCAGUAGUGAGAUUGCUGGGUUGAAUGGUAGUUUGGUUUUUAGCUCCUUGAAGAAUCACCACACAGCUCUCCGCAGUGGUUGAACUACUUUCCACUCCCACCAGCAGUGUAUAAGCGUUCUCUUUUCUCUGCAUCUUCGUCAGCCUCAGCAUUUGCUAUUUUUUGACUUUGUAAUAAUAGCCAUUCUGACUGGUGUGAGAUGGUAUCUCAUUGUGGUUUUGAUUUGCAUUUCUCUAAUGGUCAGUGAUGUUAAGCUUUUUUUUUUCACAUGCUUUUUGGCCGCCUGUAUGUAUGCCUUGUCUUGAAAAAUGUCUUAAUGGGAUUGUUUGUAUAUUUUAGAUAAAUUUGUUUAAGUUCCUUAUAGAUGCUGGAUAGUAGACCUUUGUCAGAUCCAUAGUUUGUAAAUACUUUCUCCCAUUCUAUAGGUUUACUAUUUACUCUGAUGAUAGUUUAUUUUGCUGUGCAGAAGCUCUUUUGUUUAAUUAGAUCCCAUUUGUCAAUUUUUGUUUUUGUUGUCAUUGCUUUUGGCGUCUUCAUCAUGAAAUCUUUGUCCAUUCCUAUGUCCAGAAUGGUAUUGCCUAGCUGGUCUUCUGGGGUUUUUAUAGUUUUUGGUUGUAACUUAAAUCUUUAAUCCAUCUUGAGUUGACUUUUGUGUAUGGUGUAAGGAAGGGGUCUAGUUUCCAUCUUCUGCAUAUGGCUAGCCUGUUAUCCCAGCACCAUUUAUCGAAUAGAGAGUCCUUUCUCCAUUGCUUGUUUUUGUCAGCUACAUUGAACACCAAAUUGUUGUAGAUGUGUGACCUUAUUUCUGGGCUCUCUACUCUGGACCAUUGGUCUAUGUGUCUGUAUUUGUACCAGUACCAUCCAGUACCAUGCUGUUUUGGUUAUUAUAGCCCUACAAUAUAGUUUGAGUCAGGUAGUGUGAUGCCUCCUGCUUUGUUCUUCAUGCUUAGGAUUGCCUUAAAUAUUUGGACUCUUUUGGUUCCGUAUGAAUUUUAAAGCAAAACUUUCUAUUUCUGUAAUGAAUGUCUUUAGUAGUUUGGUAGGAAUAGCAUUGAAUCUGUAAAUUGCUUUGGGCAGUAUCACCAUUUUAAUGAUAUUGAUUCUUCUUAUCCAUGAUCAUGGAAUUUUUUUCAUUUGUUGAUGUUAUCUGUGAUUUGUUUGAGCAGUGCUUUAUAAUUCUCAUUGUAGAGAUCUUUCUGUGCUCGCUUCACUAGCACAUACACAAACAUUGGAACAGUAUGGAGAAGAUUAGCAUGGCUCCUGCACAAGGAUGAGAUCUUUCUCUUCCCUAGUUAACUGUAUUCCUAGAAAGUUUCAGAAAGGUGAUGAAAUUUAAGCUGGGCUUUAAAGGCUACAUCAAAUUUGACAAAUGGAAUUGUGAGGAAAGCACAUUAGAAGUAAAGAGUGAACCCACAAAAACAAGAGAACAUCAUGUUUCUAGAGGCUGCCUGCAUUCCUUGGCUAAUGACUUUGCAUCACUCUGACGUCUUGCUCCCAUGGUCGUAUCACCUACUACUGGCCCUGAUCUCACUACUUGUUAUAUGGAACAAAGGGAUAAGGAAGUGACUUGCCUAAGUCACUGAGGAACCUAAUAUUGAGAUUAGCACUCAAUGAUUCCUGGCUCUCAGAAUGUGUGCUGCUACCACCAGGCCACACUCUUCCCUCCAGAGAGAAGAUGUGUCAGCACGGAAUUGUGCUGAAGCAAAGAUGUGAAAUAGAAUGAUUACAUAUCUACCUAGUGGGAAGAUCUGGGGAAGAAUCUAUCAGUGCUGGCAGAGAAGCAAACCAUACGACAUCACUCAUCCCCAGAAAGUGAAGUUAAGGGAAAUAAAAAACAAUCUACACCAUUUAGAAAACACAGCCACCCCAUACCCUUGGAAAAAAUACACUAAAAUAUCUUCAUCUGAUUUGACCUCUAAUAACAUGAAUAAUUGUCUUAUAACUCACUUUCUUACCUCUUGAUUAUUCUACAGAUCCGGCACAUAUGAGCAAAAUCUGAUGAAAUUCACUCAUUUAAUUUGAAGAUUUUAAUUAUGUAGAAAAAGUAGGUUCGCAUUCUUUCUUAUUAAUAGAGUUCAAAAGACUUAAGGCCUAGAGUCUAGCUUCAGCUAUUAAAAUUAUACAUCAGCAUGUGUUUCUCCUUUAUUAAGCAAUGAUUCGUUAUACCUUUCCCCUUAGAGGACACCCACACUUCUUUAAAAAUAAGUUGGGCGAACAUCGACUGUGAAUGUGUUUUUGUUUUCCUAAUAUAAUAUCAGUGGGAGUUGUACACACAGAUCAGGAGCUGUA
This 2833-nucleotide long non-coding RNA is filed under the name Homo sapiens (human). Lineage: Eukaryota; Metazoa; Chordata; Mammalia; Primates; Hominidae. The record is from RNAcentral.